AAGUCGUAACAAGGUUUCCGUAGGUGAACCUGCGGAAGGAUCAUUAACGAGUUUACUGAGUUGUCGCUGCCCUCUCGGGGGAUGUGCACGCUCUUUCACUCAUCUAAUACACCUGUGCACCUAUGCGAGUCAAUGGGGGAUUAGCGAAAGAGACCUGCAAAGGUUUCGACUAGCGUUCUCUGUCGGCUCGAUUUUUUAUAAACUCUUGUAUGUCUUAGAAUGUCUACUUUGCUUAACGCAAUAAAUACAACUUUCAACAACGGAUCUCUUGGCUCUC
This 277-nucleotide unclassified non-coding RNA is filed under the name fungal sp. RNAcentral's name for it is "partial internal transcribed spacer region". The stretch from base 1 to 46 matches the Rfam family "Eukaryotic small subunit ribosomal RNA", at positions 1786 to 1831 of the family's 1831-position model. The record is from RNAcentral. Lineage: Eukaryota; Fungi.